This 185-nucleotide microRNA precursor is filed under the name Prunus dulcis (almond). RNAcentral describes it as "sRNA ncRNA". The record is from RNAcentral. Lineage: Eukaryota; Viridiplantae; Streptophyta; Magnoliopsida; Rosales; Rosaceae.
GGAUGAGAUUGAAAGAGAGGAUGAGAGAGGAGGAUGGAAGGGAGGACUAAUAAAAGUGAAAAAAAAAAAAAAAACCUUUAAAGUGAAAACAAUUUAAAAUAGAUUUCAAUUUUUAGUUUUUGUUUUCACUUUUGAUACUCCUCCCUCCCAUCCUCCCCUCUCAUGUUCCCUCUCAAUCCCAUCUU